Molecule: long non-coding RNA, 6206 nt
Filed under: Sus scrofa (pig)
Lineage: Eukaryota; Metazoa; Chordata; Mammalia; Artiodactyla; Suidae
Description: lncRNA (ENSSSCG00000058623.1)
Source: RNAcentral
CUAUAUUAAGAAACCUUUUGAUUUGCAAGUGCUCAGGGAAAACAUUAUCAGAUAGGUGAUAGCUCUCAGAAAGCAGUGUUAGUUCUAGCACUUGAAUUUCUUGUACUCAAUUACAAUUUUGGUUUAUUAAAUGGCAAUCUCAUUUUAUUUGCUCUUACUACCCACUGGGCUUUGCUUUUGAUAAUGUUUAGGACAUACCCUGUGAAUUUAGCCCUCAGGAAAAUGCCUUUGAUGAUUCCUGCAAUUGACCUCCAUAUUAAAAACGUUAUGUCCAAGAGACAUAAUAUGUUACCUAGAUGCAAUGCAACUUGUAAAGAAACAUGGCAGACAGCCUUGAUUUGUCACCUCAUCUAUUUUCUUCAAAUUUAUGAUCUAUAGAAUGGAGUUUUUCAAUGUUUUCCUCAGCAGCUAACUUGCUAUUGUAUAGUGAUAUGUAUAAUUGUAGGACUAAAAAUUCUAGAGAUUAUUUAAGUAUUCCUCUCUAGUUAUGUGUGUGUGUGUGUGUGUGUGUGUAAUUGGAGACUGUUUACAUGUCAAAUUAUUAAUUUUUCUUCACAUCAUCAACACAUCAUACAUAAUCAGAAUAGUUUUUUUUCCAGCAGAUUAUUUCUAUAUAGAUCACUAGGGGUGACCAAAAAUUUAAUUGACUGUGUUAUUUUAGUUAAGUCAGACUCUAGUUUCUGGGGGGGGGGAUCCUUUAGAAGAUGAGGACUCCGGCUUAUUGCUAUGGCUGUUUUAUGCUUGCUAAGUUACCUAUUUGUUGUUCAAGGCUAGCAACUCAUUUAGCAAGUAAAAGCUUCUUCCUUACUUUUAAUUGUUCUUAAAGUUACUACCAAGAGUCUUGGAAUUUGUAUAAUGGAUUUCUAAUUAAUAAAGAAAAAAUGUUUAUGCUACUCAAUUUUAAAGAAAAGAGAAUGAAUUGCAUUAUUGACAGUUAUCAUCAUGCUGUUUGUCAAUGAUGAUAUAAACCCUAACCCUAACCCUAACCUAGUUCAAUUAAUCUACAAGAACAUUCUUCAAACAAAGGAAUCCAACAAGAACAAAAUCACUGCAGUGCCUUAUCAAUUCUGCUGGUAGAAAAUUCAGAUUAUAGAGGUGUUGAAAACUAAAUGAAUCAGUGGGGCCUUAGACGCAAUAGCAUACUACAAAGAAUUUGGAGAGAUGAAAUGAACGUGGACAAAAGAGCAAGUGAAUCACAAUGUUUACAUAUGAAAUUUCAACCAAAGAACCAAUAGUAAGAAAUGCCAUGCUAUCUUCUAAAACGUUUCUAAAUUUCAACCAAAGAACCAAUAGUAAGAAAUGCCAUGCUAUCUUCUAAAACAUUGAAUGAAGUUUCUUGAUUCUCAGAACCAUGUACCCAUUUCAAGGGGACAAAUCUUGGUCUGUGUAAAUUAAAGGGUAUUUUCAAAGAGGAACUGUUUGAAACUUCUACUAGUUAGUCCUCAAAACACCUUCUACCAAGAGAGAAGAAUAGAGGUUGUCCCAUCUUCACCUCAAGCAUAAUAAUACAAUUUUCAGUGGCAUCAAUUAGGGAGCUUAAUACAUAUCCCCAGCAUUUAAUCAGGUAUAGGACACAAGAAAAUCUAACGUGCUUUUUUUGCAAAAUAAAAGAGAGGUGGUUUCUGUACCGGGAUUGGAGUCCAUCUCCAGAAAUUGCUGGACAAAAAAAUACUAGAGUUUCCACGUGAAAGACAGAGUUGAUCCAGAACCAGAUUUAAACCUUUUCAGUUGUCCAUCUGAGAAGGCAAUGAGAUGUGCACAAAUAAUCUGGAUGAAGUGGGACUCCAGAAAACCAUGAGCCAAGGGAGGAGCAUUUUCUGGGGGGAAUAAAAACACACUGCCCUUGUGAAAUGAAGAGAAGUCAAGUGUUCUCAAGUACUCCCUCUAAAGAUUCAUUCUUGAAAGAAUUUCCUCUAAACAUUUGGCAGUUUCUAAGACGUCAAGAUAAUGAAGCUGGCUUAUAGUCUUACCAGCCAAGUAAGAACUUUCCUUCUUCUACUUUCUAUCUCCUCUCAUUUAUAAUCCUGAAAGAGUCCAGACCCAACAGUGGUGUGUUGGGGGAGGACAGGUAGAAUCUUAAGGAGGGGAAGAGAAGGACUGCAUUUUCAUUUCCACUAGAAAGAGAGAAAAUUUUAAGUUUAUAUCACGUUCAAAAUUUUAUUUGCUAAAUGGAUUAUUCAUAUAGCUAGUAUAUUGUGACCAUGCUUGUGACAAAAUGAGACCAAGAGAUUUUGUAUUACUUACAAGUGACAGGAAAAAAAAUACUGACCAUGCUCAGGAUUUUAAUCAUGAGCAGAGGAAGAAACUAUUCCACUCUAUUCCUUUUUCAAAACAGUGGAGAUAAAAAUAGAGUUGCCUUUGCUAUCAUACUCUGUGAGCCCUGGCCUGCUCAAUGUAUUAUUUGACCAUGAAUAAUCUGUAAACAAAUUGAUAGUCCAGUAUUAACAUGUUCACAACGUAUAUGAUAAUAUGUAUUUUUAAGACUUUUUUUUUUUUUGUCUUUUUGCCAUUUUCUUGGGCCACUCUCGCGGCAUAUGGAGGUUCCCAGGCUAGGGGUCUAAUCGGAGCUGUAGCCACCAGCUUAUGCCAGAGCCACAGCAAUACAGGAUCCGAGCCACGUCUGCAACCUACACCACAGCUCACAGCAAUGCCGGAUCGUUAACCCACUGAGCAAGGGCAGGGAUCGAACCUGCAACCUCAUGGUUCCUAGUCGGAUUCGUUAACCACUCCGCCAUGACGGGAAUUCCUUUUAAGACUUUUGAAUGAGAGUUGUUGUACAUAAUUUUUUCAGGCAUUUUAGUAGCCAUUUAGCUAUGAACAGAAUGAUUGUUUUAUUUUAAAGACUUCCAAACAAUCAAAUAAGUAUGGCUAACUUAUAGAUGUCUAACAAAUAAGCAAUAAAAAAAAAAAAACCACUGGAAGAGUCUAGAGAAGUAUGAAAAAUCUAAAUCUCAUUUUCCUGAAAGCAUAGGAAGCUAAGUUAUCAAUGUUAGACAUUAAUUUUUCUAAGAUUUUUAUGUGUAUGUAGGAGACAGAAAUAACACAGUAGAAAGAAAUCUUUAUACAAAAUCAAAUAAAAAUAUAUUUCAAAAAUAAAUUUUGUGAAGAAAUGUAGUAGUAUUUUACAGUUUAAAAACCCUACUGUCAUUUUAUUUAUUUUGCCAUCAAUCCUGUGGGAGAGGUAAGGCCACAAACAUUACUACAUUUACAGAUGGGAAAACUGAGCCCGAAAAAGUUCAAGUGUUUUGCCUAACACCAUACAAAAUUUUAUCAGCAAAGCUAGGACUGGAACCUAGGGAUCUUCCCAUGUUCUAAAACAGAGGUGUGGAUUUCAAAUACAAAUUGGAGAUUUUCUUUAAUAAUUUAUUAAAACAAAGGAUUUUGAGAGAGUACUUUAGGAAUUUUGUGCAAAUUGACUAAUUUUUCAAUCUGAGAAAACCAUUUAAUGCCUAAAAACAUGUGGGUCUAUGAUUAUCUCAAAAUAAAAAGUUUAAUUAAACAGAAACCCAUGAGGUUUGGUGGCUGAUUUGCCUAGCAAACACUCUCACUUCUAAUAGCUCCUCAAUUUCCCACAGGUAACUACCUCUCACCUGUUCUCAGCCUACCUGAUUUGGGUGAGCUGACUCUAUCCCCUUUUCUACAGGUGGCAUGUGGCCUAAGUUUGACCUUCUGCAGCAACAUAUCCCCUUGGUCUCUGUGACUGGUCAGGGUUGGGCACUUGACCCGAUCAACAGUCAUCAGGGUUGAUCCUGAGAUUUUUGCUGAUGCACUUUAUAAUGAAGUGUACUCAUUUUCACUCUUCCUUAAUCUGGUUGGAUGGAAUCCAGGAUCUACAGGAAUACACCAUGUAAAGACAAUCUGCCUAAGAAGGAAGGCAGCACAGAAGAAAACUAAGCCAAAGAUGGUAGGAAAGUUUCCAGGUGCCAUUAUUUUAGAACUUGAACACAGAUGUGCCCAAAGCACCUCUAGCUUCCCCAGUUUUUAAUUUAUGAGGUUGUCAUUGCCCCCCUUUGUCUUGUGUUCUUUUGAAUCAAGAUUCCACCACUUACAAUCCAGGGAGUUCUAAAAUACACAUGGUGUCAAUAUAGCCAAAUGAUUUCCUCUGAAACAGUUUUCUAGAAACCCUCAUUAAUGCACUUCACAGAAACCAUUCUGUGUGAGGUAAGUGAUUUCAGUAACUUUAUACAUUUUAAAGCCAGCUAUCCCACUUUUUCAUGCUUUUUCUAUUUCAUGUAAAAAGGGAGGAAUAAUUUUUCUCUGAUGAGCAGUUUCAAUCAGGUGUUUCUGUGCUUAUCUCCAUCUUCAGUUUGCAUCAUGUUGAAACUGCUGUGUUAUCUGUUUCCCUUCCUAUCCCAUAAAACCCUUGAGGUCAGGGGCUAUGUUUUAUUAUUUUUUUAUUUUCAGGGUUUUAUUGGUUUGUUUUUUAGGGCCACACCUGUGGCAUAUGUAAGUUCCAAGGCUAGGGGUUGAACUGCAGCUGCCAGCUUACAUCACAGCCACAGCAACACCAGAUUUGAGCCGAGUCUGCGAUCUAAACCACAGCUCACAGCAACGCCAGAUCCUUAACCCACUGAGUGAGUCCAGGGAUGGAACCUGCAUCCCCAUGGAUACUAGCUGGAUUCAUUACCACUGAGGCACGACGGGAAUUCCUGUGUUUUAUUCUUAAUCGUGUCUCACUAUCCAGCUUUCAAUGAAUACUUGUUUGGCAAGCAAAUAACACAAACGUCAAUAUUUUAAAACUUCAAAAUUAUUGUCACAAUGUGAACAUGUCUUUUGUUGUGACUAUAAUCGUCCAGCAUUUAAGUUAGCCCAAGUUUAAAGCCUUAGAAAAAUUACAAUAAACAUAAAAAGAAUAUCAUAAAGAAAUAGACAUUAAAAAUUUUAAGUCUAAAAUUAUUGUAACAAGUCCUUGAAUUUUGAAGGUUAGGUUCCCUUUAUCAAUGUAUCCUUUAACAGUGAUAUUACCUGACUUUUCACAUAAAACACACUGAGCAUGUCUCUGAUCUGUCACAAUAACCAAUUAGCACAGGUGAUGUGCUUUAACAUGACUGCUAUUUCCUUUGCUGUGUUCUUAAAUGUAAAUAAGCAAGUAAAUAAAUAAAUAAAUAAGGGGCUAGAUGAAGUAAAUUAGUAGUAUCUACCUGAAGGCUGGGAAACUGAAACUCUUAAAACUGUGAGACUAAAUCAACAACCGAUAUUUAUUCAAAUGCUUACAAUUGUCCAGCCUAUGCAGAGCACCUGUCUUGGUGUUAACUAGCAUUUAACUGCUGUGUGAGUGGCUGCUAGGCUCUACUUACUGCUAUGAAUUAUUUUAGAUUCUAAAGUCUGUGUUUGCAUUAUAAGCCCUCCUAUUUGGCUCCCUCCCAAGCCUACCAUAGCCUGUUCCAGCCUACUCACUCAGCAAGGCUGCCUGGUACAGGAGCAAAGCACUGUGCGAAAUCCAUUUAUGUCCCACAGGACAGCCCACCCUCAUCACACCUGUUCCACUUGAAGCUGAACAAACGGGUCCAGGUGUACAGUGACCCAUAGCAACAGGGACUAAAGCCAGGGCCACCUGUCUUGCUAGGUAGCAGAGGGAAAUAUUUUUCUAUAAGACUACACAUUGCCAGUUUGAGGCAAAUUAAUGUCUCUAACUGGAGGAACACUUUGCAAGGAAAGUAAAGGUACUGUUCUCUUCUAGAUAGAGAUAAAAACAGCAACAACAACUAGUGUUGCUAUUGCAAGGAAAAUAAGAAUGCAGUUGCCCUCCAAAAGACUUUUAAAGAUAUCUAGUGUUGGUUAUUCACCAUAUACAAAAAUAAAGUUGAAAUGGAUUAAAGAACUAAAUGUAAGACCAGAAACCAUAAAAUUACUAGAAGAAAACAUAGGUGGGAAAUGCUUGACAUAGAUUGCAGCAAUAUUUUUGGAUUUGUCUCCUAAAGCAAAGGAAAUAAAAGAAAAAAUAAAUAAAUGGGACCUAAUUAAAUUUAAAAGCUUUUGCACAGCAAGGGAACUAUUGACAAAAUGAAAAGACAACCUACUAAAUGGGAGGAAAUAUUUGCAAAUAAUAUGACUGAUAAAGGGUUAAUAUCCAAAAUAUAUCUGAACAGCUCAUACAAUAUAAAAAAACAACCCAAACAACCCAAAUUAAAAAUGAUCAGAAGAGCUGAAUAGACAUUUUUUUCAAAGAAGACAUGCAGAUGGCACAUGAAAAGAUGAUCAACAUC